This 549-nucleotide ribosomal RNA is filed under the name uncultured bacterium. RNAcentral's name for it is "partial 16S ribosomal RNA". It matches the Rfam family "Bacterial small subunit ribosomal RNA", at positions 355 to 893 of the family's 1533-position model. The record is from RNAcentral.
UAGGGAAUCUUCCACAAUGGACGCAAGUCUGAUGGAGCAACGCCGCGUGAGUGAAGAAGGUUUUCGGACCGUAAAGCUCUGUUGUUGGUGAAGAAGGAUAGAGGUAGUAACUGGCCUUUAUUUGACGGUAAUCAACCAGAAAGUCACGGCUAACUACGUGCCAGCAGCCGCGGUAAUACGUAGGUGGCAAGCGUUGUCCGGAUUUAUUGGGCGUAAAGCGAGCGCAGGCGGAAGAAUAAGUCUGAUGUGAAAGCCCUCGGCUUAACCGAGGAAUUGCAUCGGAAACUGUUUUUCUUGAGUGCAGAAGAGGAGAGUAGAACUCCAUGUGUAGCGGUGGAAUGCGUAGAUAUAUGGAAGAAUACCAGUGGCGAAGGCGGCUCUCUGGUCUGCAACUGACGCUGAGGCUCGAAAGCAUGGGUAGCGAACAGGAUUAGAUACCCUGGUAGUCCAUGCCGUAAACGAUGAGUGCUAAGUGUUGGGAGGCUUCCGCCUCUCAGUGCUGCAGCUAACGCAUUAAGCACUCCGCCUGGGGGAGUACGACCGCAAAGG